GGACUCGAUCCCAGGACCCUGAGAUCAUGACCUGAGUUGAAGAGGUUCAGGAAGUAACAGAGUAAGAACACGGUGGCAUGGUGGGUUCCUUGUUCCUGUUUCUCAGACCCUGCCAUCUGCCAGCUUUUGAGCUAUGAGCCAAGUUUUGGUUCCAGCAAGAAAGUAUGUUCUCACCCCAGCUUACUCACGUGUAGAUAUAACAUGCCUACCUUGUACAGGUAAGGGCAGGAAAUUUUCUCUUCGUCCCUUCUAGGUUCUUUGGCUGGUCUAAUAACUAAGUUGACCUAAGAUUAACAAGAGAAAAGCAAAUUUAAUUUUGUACAUACAAGAAUCCCAAAGAUACGACCAGUCAUCUUUAAAGCCCCUGAAUGCGGGGCACCUGGUGGCUCGGUCAGCUGUGUCUCACUCUUGCUCCAUCCCCCCAAAUAAACAAAAAAUCUUAAAAAAGAAAAAAAAAAAAAAAGCAAAGCAAAGCAAAAGCCCUUCAGUGAAAGAUUAAGCGUAAAGGGAAACGAGAAUCCUGGUGAAUCUUGUCAUGUGUGACAGGAAGCACAAACUACAACUUCUAAUGCGGAAAGAACGCGAGGCUUGACUACAAAUGGAAUGAAAUGAAAGUCACCAAAGCAAACAUGCUGGUGUUUUGCAGCACAAGCAGAUCUACAGAUAAGACUUCUGACCCUGACCAGAAAACGGGCACCCUGGGCGCCAAGGUUCUCCAACAUGAAGAGGCAGGUCUGAGGGUCCUGUCUCUCCGGGAGCCCGAGCCUCGCACAGGCGAACGGGCGCGGGAGGGCGGACUCGGGCUCGCUGCCUCCGGGGCCGGUCAGGGCGGUCCGUAGCCGCCGCCUUCAUCUCGGAAUUGUUCCUAAACCUCACCAGCGGCCCCAGAGAAGCGAGAGACGGGCGCUGUGGACGUCGCCCUUGGCCGCGGUCCCCGCCUCAGGCCACGCAGCGCCCCUCACCGCCGCCACACAACCCUCGCUAGCUGGGUAGCAACCACCGGCGGAAGUCGGCCGCUUCCAGCCUCUCGGGGAGAAGCGCCGGAGGGAACCUCCGCACGGCCUCCGAGGGGCGGCCACCUGGAGCACGGCGCCGCUUCCGGCUGCUCUGGGAGACGCUCCUCUCGGGGGUGGCAUCGCGCUGUCUGAGGUAACCUUUGCGCGGCCUCCGAGGGGCGGCCCCCGGGGGGCACCGCGCCGCUUCCGGCCUCUCUGACCGACGCUCCUCUCGGUGUGGCCGCCGAGGGGCGGCGCUGCUGUCUUGAGUUGCGAGUCGUUCACCUUCUGAAAGGCUAACGACGUGCGUGCGAACCAAGUCCCCCCGCUUUAAAGUUGUGAGGCAGGAGGGCCGUUUCGGCGUUACGUCACGUGGUGAUACUGUUAGGGACGUAAUCCAGGUUAACGGUUAGGCGCGAGGCCCGGAACAGCGCGCGUUUGAAUCCGGGGUGCAGCAUUUGCUGUCCAUGUGUUUCGAGCAGGACAGUCACAGCUCGGGUUUCACCGCAACACGGGGCGUAUAGUCAGCGGCGGGAACGGUCACGACGCAGGAAGCAUUAGCGCGGUACGUGUGGAACAGGAAGCUACGGUUCAGCACCAGCCACACACGUGGGGCUACUUCGAUGCUAUCAGGACAUGUUUAGUUCAAGCCAAUGACACACAGGGAAAAGUUCUCUACUUCUCAUGCGGUGAUAAAGGACCAUGUAUGGUAAUUGAGGCAACUCUGAGAAGGGACAUUCACAGCCCCACUCCUCCAGCCACGAACUGUACAUGCUACUGCCCCUUACCGCCAUCCUGCAGAAGGGAUGCUGAGGAACCACAAAGGGCCUUGGGGUCCACUGGCUGCAACUGGACACUCAGUGCCGAUCCAGGAGGCACCACCUUCUUCCCGAGUAUCUCUUGUUCGUGUGCAUGGACUGGAACCUGAGAAAAAUAAAGUACAUUUGGGCUUGUGAGAGAAUCCCUGUUGGGAUUUGAAUAUCUUCCAAAAACAAAGAGAACCCGCUGUAGGAAUACAAAACUGCAGGACCGAUGAAGUCUGACUCAAAUGUAAAAUGUGGCACAGCAUGAAAUGCAGUGGAAAGGAGACAGAAAGACACAAUGCUCUAACAGCCCCUGCAGGUCUCCCUGGGUGCUCAGUCUCAGGCCCUUUCCUCCCACUGUGGGACUCUGUCCAUGUGGGGUUCUUAGAUCUCCCAUUUCCUGUGUACCUGGACUACUGCUUCAUCAGCACCUCUCUCCAAAUCUUCCAGUAGAGUGACCACCUCCUCUCCAUUCUCUGGGCCAUGUUCUUGUACCCAGGUCUGCAGCUCCUCAGGCAGGAUGGUCAGGAACUGCUCCAGCACCAGCAGCUCGAGGAUCUGCUCCUUGCUGUGUGUCUCGGGCUGCAGCCACUGAUGGCAGAGCUCCCGCAGCCGGCUCAGGGCCUCACGGGGCCCAGCCGAAUCCUGGUAGCAGAACUGCCUGAAAAGCUGUCGGCAGAGCUCCUGCCUAAAGGGGUCGUCGCUUCUCUGGAGGGAAGUGUCCUGCCUCCAGACAAAAUCUUCCUCUUCUAUCUUCACUAUCAGAAGCCCUUCAUGCUCCUGAAGGUUCUGAGCUGUAGCUUUCUUUGAUUCUGUCGUCAUUUUGGGAUGAAAUGUAUUACCAGGAAACCCACUUCUGCUUUGUGAAGCGUCCUACUUAGUUUCAAGGGCUCUUCUAAGGGAUAAAAAAGAACUAUUACUAUCUAUGAAGAUGAAAGAUCAUAUCAUAGAAAUAGUCAUUUUCCAUUGCCCAGAAGUGUACUUGGCAUUUACUCUAUGUAAAAGCACUGAAAUACUUUGUGGAAUAAAAUUGUUACAUAAUUUCUA
This is a long non-coding RNA of Mustela lutreola (European mink), 2845 nucleotides long. RefSeq lists it as uncharacterized. The record is from RefSeq and is a predicted model, not a curated record. The transcript has 2 exons. Lineage: Eukaryota; Metazoa; Chordata; Mammalia; Carnivora; Mustelidae.